AAAAAAAAAAAAAAAAAAGUUCUGAAACUUAGUGUAGGAUUGGGAUGUAGGAACGGGCUCAAAAGCAGAAGCUCAAAUUAGUGCUUCUGCUUCACCGGUUCAAGGAUUUUAGUAUAGUGCUUCUUCUAAUAACACUGCUCGAACAUCAAUCCGUUGAAUAGCACUUCACCCUACACCAGGACUAAACAGGCCGAAUAUAACUUAGUAACGACUGCGUCGUUGCUUAAUCAGCAUUAUAAGAGAAUAUUGCACAACUUAGGAGAAGUACAGGGAAUUCGACCAUUUCUAUUAUAGUUACACUGAAAGGGAAAUAUCAUAGGGAGUAAAAACUUAGUGCAAAUGAACCUGAAGGACCAUGCUUGUUAAAUAAGACUGAAAAAUCUGCGGAAAAAAAAACUUCUUGCAACUGUGUUGAUCACUUUAGAAAACUGCUAUAAGCCGAGCUACUUGCUGGAAAAGCAAGAUUGCGAAAGAGUGAACUCUAAAAUCUAGCGCCAAAUGACGGGAGACUGUGAGAUCAUCAGGAGGAAGGAUCCCGCAAGCCUUUGAAGGGUGCUACGGAAUGGGCUCACUGUCACAAAGUCAUGUAGGUUGGAUCCAAAGGUCUUCCAAAGUUAGAAUAUUGGAAAUUGACUAAAACCUUGUCGCUUAUCAUUAAAAUGUUGUGUAUUCGCAUGUAUAGAUAUAAGUUUAAGGCCUAGACAAAAGGUAUUAAAGGUAAACCCACGUCAUUUGCCUGCAACUUCUUGUAAUGAGUCAGCUUAGAUAAAUUGGCCGCAUUUCAUGCGCAUACCUGUCUUUCUUUUGUACCAACAAUUCAUGAAUCUGUAUAUGUAUGUGCGACCAGUUUCCUUAUAAUAGGCUGACUUGUUUUUGUACAGUAUUACUAAACAAAACCUCUUAACCAGGCAUGUUGUGCGGUUCUCCAGAGCUGGUUCUCAAGAAAAUUCAUGACCGGAUGGUACGCCAUCUUAAUGUUGCAAAAACAAAAAUAUAUUUGUGAUUGUUUUGUAUACCUAACUUCUUCUCUGUUCAUUUUGCAGUGUUGUUCUUUUUCCUGUUGCUGUCACAUUUUUCCUGACAUGGUGGUUUGUUCAGUUUGUUGAUGGUUUCUUCAGUCCUCUAUAUGCCAAGCUUGGUGUUGACAUAUUUGGUAAUUCUUGUUGUAAUUUUUUUUUGAUUUUUUCUGGUCAGAUGAAAGUUAUAUACGGAUACAUCCUCUUGUUCUGCUAAAUUGCUUUGCUUCUUGGAGUUGGUAGAACAUGCCUCGACAGGAGGAUAAGUGUUUGUCAUUUUAUAUCCUAUCUCAAUCAGUAGCUUUCUAGCUGAAAUGUUGAAAAGGGCUUCUUGCUGUUGGAUGAGCAUUACUAUGAUGUGCAGAGAAAAUUGAACUCACAAGAAAUUAGUAGUUGCCAUUAUUGAUUAAAACUUAAAGGUUUGGACAGGAAUUUUUGAGAAUCAUCAAAAGAAAAUGGUACUUAAUUUUCUCUAUGUUGAAGUAUAUUACUAAACUUAGUGGGCUUCCCUGGCGCAUAGAGAUGGAUUCUGCUGUGAAAUUGAGAUGAGUUUUCGUACUUAAUUUAAAAGAAGGCAUGCUAGUUUUAUCAUUUCUAGUUAUACAAUGAUCUUGCUUCAAGUUUUGGAAACAUUAUAGAACGGAUUGUGAUCUGACUCUGAUAAAAGGUAAGUCCUUUGGGUUCAUUUUCUGUUCAAAGCAAGAAUUUGGAAAAAAUUCUGCAUGAAACUUAGCGGCAAGAUCCUUGUGCACCACUUCUCCCUUUGUGGUGAAGCCGGCUGUAAUUGCACUAUUUCUGGAUGUCAUGCUAUUUGAAUGUGUAGACAGUUAAAUAUGUCAUAGAUCUUUAGGUAUGGUUGACAUUUUCUGCAGAACUUUCUCAUUUAGUUUCUAUUAUUACAUCCUGUGUUUAACAGGCCUUGGAUUUUUGACAUCUGUGGUAUUCAUAUUUCUUGUUGGGAUAUUUGCUUCUUCAUGGUUGGGCGCCACUGUUUUCUGGGUUGGAGAAUGGUUCAUAAAGAAAAUGCCCUUUAUGAAGCAUAUUUACUCAGCAUCAAAGCAAAUCAGCACGGCUAUUUCACCAGGUAACUCAUUUUGUAUCUAUACGCCCAUAAUAUGUAAAUCUUUGUUGACGAAAAUAAUCAAAAUGAUAUCUUGUUUGAGGUAAACAAGAUAUACAUGCAUGAAUAAGUAAGGCAUUUAUCCUUAUAUAUUUUCUAAUUAGCGACUCUUAUCUUAAUCCUUAGAAUGAUAAUUUAUUUUGGGAAUAAAAUCACUACCAAUAGUUAUACUUUGAUAUAAAACAGGCCUCAGUUUUGAUUCUAGCGGCUCCACUUUUACAUGCUUUUUUUUUUUUUUAUGUGCAGAUCAAAAUACCACAGCAUUUAAGGAGGUAGCUAUCAUACGCCAUCCACGGAUUGGUGAAUAUGCAUUUGGUUUCAUCACAUCAUCUGUGGUCCUUCAGGUACUUCGACUGAAAAUGUUAUUAUCUAUGUUGUUAUGAAUAUACGUUAUCUUUAGAUUGCUAGAGCAGCUAUUUUAUCUAGUCAGACUUGCUGUAAGGUCAAAUAGUCUUUCAAGAUAUAAACUUUACAAGGAUGUUUAAUCUCUUCUUUGAAGCUUUUUUUCCCCUCUUUUUUUGUUAUUUAUUGCAGAGUGAUAAAGGUGAUGAAGAGUUAUGUAGUGUUUACGUCCCAACAAACCAUCUAUAUAUUGGUGACAUAUUUUUGGUCAACUCUGAAGAGGUCAUUAGACCGAAUCUAUCCAUUCGAGAAGGCAUAGGUUGAUCCCCUUGAACCUUCUGAUUCUGCAUUGUCUUGUUCCUUUGUUGGCUUUCUUAUAAGUUAGUUGAAAUCUGUCUAAAUUGAUUACUGAAUUUUAUUCUGUAUUUUUGGAAUGCAAUUUUGUUGCUUUGGAGUUGGUGUUCAAGUUUGCUUCAUAUUGUGCUUUUAGAAUGCUUCUUUUCUUUUGGAAUAUGUUAGUUUACUUGAUCCAUGUCUUAUAAAUUUCAUGGUGGCUUUUUCAAUUACUAUAAUUAACAAUGUUUAAACUAUGUUGGGAUAUAUCAUAAAUUAUUUGUGGAUCCAUUCCUCUUUGAAUUAUUAUUCCUUUGCAUUUCCUCUUUUCUUUUUUUUCUGUUUGUCAAUCAGUUUUUUAGUCCACAAAAUCUUACUUUUUUAUAUGCGGUAUAUUUCAGUUGGCCAUGUUUACUACAGUUUAAUGGAAUUUGAGCAAAUCAUUGAGAAAAUUUUUGAGUUCUAUCGCAUCAUCUAUACUCUGUUUACUUAGUUCGUAGCCCCAUAUGUUGGUGGGACAAAUAUAAUCUUAUGCAGAUUAUCUUAGUUGUUCACUAGAUUAAUAUUUUCUUUAAGCACUUCUUUUUUGUCAGCUUUACUAUAUCUUAUCUGGAAACUUCUAAUGUCAUAAAUGCAACAUUUGUAAACCUAGUCAUUUUAGCUGUUUAACUAUGUCUAAUAAUCUAUUUUUAUUUGAUGAAAUGCUUUUCUUAAUGUUUUGUGCUCUUCAGAGAUUAUUGUGUCUGGGGGGAUGACUAUGCCACAAGCGAUUGCUCCUCUCGAGCGGGCUUCUCAUAAGAAUCAGAGUAUCCGCCUGGACCGAAUCGCAUAAAGCUUUCUCACUCUCUCAAUCUACAAAUGAGGUAUGUCUCACUAGCGCUUCUUAUCCCUUCAAACUUACAUAUAUGUCCCCAUAAAAUCUGAAUUUUCAUACAUAUGACUCUUGCAAUGUAGUUUCGUACGAAAAUAGUGUUAUCUUAAGCUCGGGGUCAUCGAAUCGAUUGGGGGAAGUUGGUUUCAAGGGUUAUUUUUAACGAGUAUAUGAUAAAAUUAGGCUUUUUCAUGGCAUAAAUGAAAAAACAAAAAAAAAAUCUGAUUUUGCUGGGAUGACUUGCAAUGCCAAAGAGAGGUUGGUCUCUCUGAGCUUUUCACUAUAGGACGAUUUGUUUUGUAUUUAUUAUUAUAUCUCCUUUUUUGUGAUGCAGGUUAAGUUGGGUUACAGGACCAAAACAUCGAUGCUCUGAGUUAUUUAAAUCGGUGUGCAACUUCUGUGCUUUAAUAUGUAGAUAUUAAACCUUUCUAGGCUUAAGGGUGAAGGAACAAAUGUGGCUGAGAAAGAUUUUUUAUUUAUUCAAGUUCGUAUAGUGGAAUACAGCAUGGUAAGACAUACAUACAAUUCUAUAGGUUUAUGUGUAUACAUCCACAUCCUAAUGUUUCUACCCAGUAGAGAAUAUUGUGUUCUCGUUGAAUUCAAUAAACAUUUUAUAUGUAUAACUAAAUGAAAAGUGCUAGAGUUUCUCAUCUUUCAUUGUUAACAGGCUUGGUUAAAUUAACUGUAUUCUAUUUGGCUUUUUCCUGAUUAUGUUACAGCUAAAUAAUGGCUCCUUAAUUUGUCGAAUUGCUCCCUCUCUCUCUCUCUCUCUCUCUCUCUCUCAUAUCCAUUUGCUUCGAAUUACGUCAAGUUAUUGUUGGUUUAAUGAUUCAGUGUUGAAGAGAAACUGUACAGAAAUUUUGAACCAAAGAUUUGAGGGUAUUAGUGUGUGUAAUUUUCAUAGAUUUCCCCAGAAACAAAAAAGAAGAAAAAGAAGCAAACAACUGCAAACCUGCAACUGGGCCAGAGGUGGACGUACAAAUGCAAACAGAACCAGUUCCAGGUCACACCUUAUCUUCUAUUGUUUCGCAAAUUGAAACUUCAUUGCUUUUUAGUUCCAACUUCAUUUCAACUAUGCUUUCCAGCAGCUAGUGAGACAAAAGUCGAACCCCAUGUACUGGCGGCAGCGAUGACUAGGUAACAAACCCUUUUGUAUUCAGCGUAUUCACGCAAAUUUGUGAAGUUGGAUGCGGCCGACAUGCUGCGGCUGCAGAAACCUUGUAUUCAGCGUAUUCACGCAAAUUUGUGAAGUUGGAUGCGGCCGCCGCUGCUGCGGCUGCAGAAACCUUAGCAGUUUCGUCGGCGGAUUCACAUUUGUCAAGCAUCUUUGCUGCUCCCACUGCUCCCUGGUGAAUUUGGCAUAGCCAAAUUGCUCUGGAUUCUUAAUUCCUCCACUAGUUCCCAGCAAAUUCAAGGGAGUCCACCCCUAAAUUCCCCAUUAUUAAGAUCUCGCAAUGUAGCAUCAUCCCUACUUACCCUACAUUGCUUUCAGUACAUAUUCAACAACCAAAUACUUUCCACAUUUCACUUGUGGUAAAGCAUUCGGCGUCGAUGCAUACGAAGUUAAACUUCGUGAAUCACACACGGCCGUUCGUGCUUCCCCAUGCGCGGAAACAGGAACUUUCGCCAAUAUCACGAAGAUCAUUUUGUACCAAACAGGCCUCCCACAAAUACCCAUCACCACAUUCCCCUAGAACACAAAAAAGGUAACACACUUAAAGGUGCAACAGUCCCGCAAUUAUCGCAGAAAUCCACAUAAACAGGGAAACAAAAAAGAAAAGCCAAAUUAUGCUGUUGUUCUAAUCCCGCAUCCAAUGUUCUUGGUGAUAACAUAAAGUACAAGGUGGAGAAAGAACAGGAAAGAAGAUAGGGAGAGCCUUCAACAUUGAUCUCACAUGUUUACUUUCAGAGGGAUCUCUAAAUACUCUGCAGUUGGGAGAAGGAAAUCCGAAUGACGGAUCUGUCGAGGGAGGUCGCAUGCUUGCAAACUAGGGUUUCAGUCGCUUGCUCCUCGUUCUCGAACAAAACUAGGGCUUGCUUCUUCCCGUUCACCUCGAAGAGCUUGCUGUUGACUAUGGUGCCGUGCUCACUUAGGUGGGCAAUGACGUCAUCCUCCGUGAUUUCUUGCGGGAGGGCGGAAACAUGGAUCAUCUUCGUCGGGGCGCAGCAAUAUCGGUAGUUCUUUGCCGCGUUAUUGUUGCUAAAUCGGUUAAGGUUAGAAUUGGCAAAUUCACGGGUGUCGGGAGCAGGCGUGAUGUUCGGAUACUUGGAGAAAUUCACCUCUAUUUUCUUCCCAAAUAGCAUUGCUCCCUGCGGCAGGUAAUAAAGUUUGCUAUGAUUAUGAAGUCCAUUAACUAGGAAAUGACAACUUUGAAAGCUUGCUGAAUUUAGUAAAGGAAAAGAAGAGAAAAAGGCUAAAACUCAGAAACCCCUCUGGAAAUAUCAUGAUUUGCGCUUUAAGCAAUGUGUAGAUCACAAUAUCUCUAGGGGUUUUUUCUGUAUUUUUUCUCAAAACAAAAAAGGCAGCAUUCUCAGUAAUACUAGUUUAUUAGCGAUCAAGCUUAUGAUAUAACAGCAGAAAAGUACAAGGGCCAAAGCAAGCGAACCUUCAAGAAGUGUACAGCAAGUUCAGCCUGAAACCCAUCAGCCAUCUGAACAAGCGCAUGAUCCGGUUUAUUGCGAAGGAUCUUAAUUCUUAUAAUGUUGCCAUAUAAAGAAAACAAAUUGAAAAGCUUGUCCUCGUCAAUCUUCUGCACAAGUGUAAUGAAAAUAUCAAUAACUUUUUGAGUGAAGUGAAAUAACAAAAUUAUAGAACGAGGAUGUCAGGACUUACUUCAGUGUUCAAAUUAGUGGCUAAGAUUGUGCACCUGUCAUUGGUACCACUUAUUCCAGGAGGCAAUCCUCCACCAAAAGCAGCUGCAAUUGCUGCGGCAUUGCCCAUCUAGCAAUAAAGAUGAUUAAAUUUCAUGGAAAUGCUUUCAUAAAUUUUCCAAAAAGAUGGUAAUCAGGAAGCGACUAACGCCUAUUUAAUAAUUUGCACAAAUUUAACGUAUCUGAAACCAACAAAACCUUCGAGAGCUGUGCAGUUCAGAGAUACAAACCUGGCCAUACGCAACUGAUGCAAAAUAAAGUGGGGAAAAGGAGUCAGUGUUUCAGUAAUAAGUGACAAGCAAGGCAAUAAAGAUAGAAAGUCAAAGCAAGCACCUCUAGCACUAGGUCCUUGGAGCCCAUAUAAACCUCCAGCAUCACCAUAACCAGGCUAUAUUAAAAACAUAUAAUUGAAUAUCAUUAGCAUCUAAUAGACGAUCUCUCUUUUGCAGCAAAUAGGGCACCAACAGCAGACAAGGACAAAGAAAAGCAGCCUACCUGUGAGGGUCUACCUCGUUGUUCAGUGGGCAACGACGGGUUUGUGAAAUCUCUGAACAGAGAAAAUACACACAAAAAAGAAAAUAAGCAUAAACUAGAACAUAUGACGGGGAGAAACAUGCUAAUCUUGUCACUCAAGUUCCCUCAUAAUAAAUCUGGAGUAUCUUUUUCAUCUCUGUCAUUUCAAAUUUUAGUUUCACAAAAUAGAAAUAACGUGUAUUUAUGCAAAAAAUUAACAGUUACAAUUAAAGAAAAGUAUUGUAAUGAUCCAAAUGCCAUUGAUUUUGCUCCACAAUCCUAUUCACAUUUGGCAAUAACAGAGAAACAAUAAUCACCAUACUAAGUUGCAUGAUAAGUAACAUACCUAGACCGGUCAUUGUUGUAAUUGACUUGCAAUUCGUUGAGACUGGUUUGGAAAAGAAGAUAUUCACUGAGAUAUUCAGAAGAGAAAAAAGGCGAAAAUUUAAGUAAAAGAGAAUUACAAAGAACAUACUUCGAGAACUGUAUAUCUAGCUGACAACAUCCAUCAUAAAUAUUCCGCCCCUAUAGAAAGAAAUAGUCAUGUUAUUAAUAAGGAAAUAUAACACAAGCAUAAAAAUAUGCAGUCGAAUGCAAGUAACAUACUUGCAAAGCACUUCUCGCUUGUAUAGCACUCUGGCGUGAUUGAUACUGGAUAAGGGCUUGAAAACCUAUACAACAUCAAGUAAUAAAACUCCGGUAAGCUAACUAAUAGUCUUCCUUGACAAAUGCUGAACAAAAAGAAGAUUUUGUUAAUGCUUGCAUUAAAUGCAAUGCUCAAAUGAACUAAUUCAAAGUGAACAACCAAGAAAGAGAGAUUUUUUUAAUAAACACACAACCACAAAUCCACUAGACCAGUUGGUAAAUUUUGGCGUAUUAUUAAGACAGAGAGAUAUAUAGAGAGAGAUGACUUGAGGGUGCUGACCAGCUGACUUCUGAAAAGUGACGAUCUUCUCCACAAACCCAUGAGGAGAAAAGACUUGAUGCAGCACUUCCACUGUUAUGGGAUAGAGCAUGUGGUGAAUUGUUACUAAGAGGAUUCGAUUGGGUUGCGAAUCCUUGAGCCCAACAGCAGACCGUCCCAGAGAGAGAAGUGAGAGAAAGAGAGAGAAGAAUAAAUAGAGAGGCAUAUAGUGGGAAAAAGGAGAAGUAAUAAUAGAGAGAAGAUAUGAAUCUAAAACUACUUAAAGAAAAGUUAUGAGUAGAUAGGCAAAGAGUACUAUAAAGAGAGUUGGUAUUAAACUUCAACAAACUAUAGCCCAGACAUAUAAUUUAAAUAUCAGCAGUAUAGACACAUUCAUGGGAAGUUUUUUAUUAACUCAAAUUUGUCGAAACAUAUUUCUUAGAAUGUAGUGACAAAAAACAAUUGAAACUCCAGUUACAGAACACCAUUAUCUCACAGCAACAUAUCGCAAACGUUUUUGUCCUAUUCAGACCAGCAAGUCUUUUUUUUUCUCACUAACACAUAACAUUAUUACUUUAUAUAUAUAUAUAUAUAUAUAUAUAUAUAUAUAUAUAUAUAUAUAUAUAUCUCAUCUUAGCCCUUCCAAAUAAUAAUCUGGACAACAUGUCAAAAAUUACAUUGAGACUGUCCGCAAAACACCAAUUAGUCCUAACCAGCAAUCUCUGGAAGCAGUUUGUCCAAGAACAUAACAGCAGUGAGCAUCCCUACUGUAAGUAAGGCAGAAAGAGAUCAUAGAUUUUGUUCUUUAACUGCACUAACUAUAUGGUCAUAAAUAAUAAAAAAAGAUCAAUAGUGACAAAGAGAGAGAAAAAAAAAAGGGAAUGCUUACGCAAUCAGGUUUGUCAAAUUUGUUCUGUUUUUUACUGGUCUGAUGACAUUUUCUUCCAAUAUAGCACCCUUCUUGUUGCUCUUUUAGGUUUUGUCCUACACAUUCAUUACCAUUUAUCUCUACACUUUAGGUUAUCAUCAUGGUUUCAUGCCACACAAGACUGACAGUGGAUUACAACUAUGGUUUGGAUUAUCUCUACACUUUAGGUCAUCAUCAUUCACGUAUAUCAGUCACCUCCCGAUAAUCUCACAAUUUUGGUUACUUUGUUAUCUUCUUCUAUGUUUCUUUUUUAUUUUAUUACUUCUAUUCUUGAGCUUUAUUAAAAUUUUCCUCUAAAGUUUGGACUGACUAGUUCCUUUGAACCUAUCUACAGCAUACUUUUUACUUCACUUUUGUCAUGCAAAUAUUCAAUACCAUUAUCUAUGUCCAAUAGCCAAAUUUUUUUGUAUAUAUAGCUUCACAAAGGUGACAAAAAAUAAGUUUGUUAAAACCUCAUUUUUUGUAAAGCAUCCAAAAAUGUGUAAUAUAUCAGCUAACAUCACUUCCUGGACUUUCUAAAGCAGUCACCCACCACACAACAUACAUUCUGUUGUGGAAUAAUACAAUGACAGAUCUUCAUGACAACAAAAAGUAAACAAGAAAAUUAAAAACUACCUGAUCAGAUUUCCGUCCUUGCGAGUUUUGGUCAACAGUUGUCAAUUCCUGGUGAGAAGAAAAUUGAAGAUAAACAUUCCUUCCUCUGAAAUGGCAACAGAGAAACUCAUGUGAGUUGCCAGUUAGGAGAAUAAGAAUAAAAUUUAUAACAGUCAGACAUGGAUAGAAGUCAGACACGGAUAUGGGAGAGUAAUUAUAUAAAAAAGGAAAAUGAGAGAAUGUGAUGCCAAGUAUAUAAUCUUGUAAGACAAGAUGAAGUUCACAAGUGUACAAGAUGAAAUUCACAAAGGGCUAAAGGAAAAGGCAAAACCUCAUAGGAAAACUUUACUGUUACUCUUAGCUACAAGUACUCAUAAUAAGCUGGAAAGAAAAGUCUAAAACUUUUAAGUGAUACAAAAAAUCAUUAAGUGAAUCACUCUUUUACCUGACACUAGGUUGAACUGUAGUGUAGUAUUGCAAGACGUUUACAGCAGAAGCCACAUCAUGCAUCUGGAGAAGAGCCUGAGCACAGAAAGAUAUUUAAUAAAUACAGCAUACAGAAAAGGAUAAUGAAGAUAUUGAACAAGCAGUGGGGAACUGCAAUGAAGAAUAUAGUCAAAUACAAAGAGGGACAGAAUAGGACAGAAGAGAAGGGAAGAAAUAUGAAAGAAACAACGCGAAAAGAUAGGAAAAUAGCAGUCUACUGUGAUGUUCAGACGCAUAGAAAAGAAGAAACAAGAAAACAAGCUUUCGAUUGAGUUAUUUCCUUUCUCUCCCUUUCCCUUCACUUUAAAGAGUAGGUGAAAAAAAAAAGACCUUCUUUGGCAUUGCUGUUGUUUUCAUUUUUGUAAAUGUGAAUUACAUAUGAUUGUAUGCGCCGUUGUUGGUUAGCUUUCAAUGCAACUUGGCCAAGAUAAAGAAUGACAUAUUCUUUGAAAAACAAAGAAGCAGAAAAAAAAAAAAAAUACAAACAAGUUUUUCUUUUUGUUGCGAAACAAAGCCCAUAGAUGUAUUGGCUGCAAACACUCGGGUAUCCGUCCGCACCACUGUCGCGUGGAAUUUACAUUUAAAAAAAGCAAACUAAGAAAAUGACAUUGGUACCAAACUAAGUUCUUGCCAUUUAAGGGGAUUUUUCAUUCUCCUUUUCCAUCCAUUUCUCUUCCUCUUUCUCUUUUCAAGACUCAUUCACAGAUCGUAUACAAAUAAAUAAUUUUUUUAAGGGGAGAGAGAAACAAAGCAAAUGAAGAAUCAAUACCUGAUUUUUGGCUCGUAACAUUACAAGCUUUGUGACGGUGCCGAAUGGCUGAAACAACUGGAGAAGAUCACUCUAACCAACAGAAAAGAAGGGGAAAAAACUAAUCACAACUCCAAAAUCAUCAACACAAAAGAAAAAACUAGUCACAACUCCCAAAUCAUCAACAACAGAGCUUACUUACACCAAUUUUAAUCGGGAAAAAAAUAAAAAAUUACCUCCGAUAUCUCGUGCCCUACGUUCCGAACAUGAAUCACUUUGGAAGGCUCGCUCAUCCUCGCUUGUUUCUCUUCAACAAGACGAAGUACUUACCUACAAAAACCCUCAUCAUUUUGACAUUUUCGCGAUAAAAAUAACCAUAAAUUAAAAAAAAAUGGCGAAAAGAGCGGCGCAUUGAGAUCGAGAGCUACUCUACCCACGCGAUAACGCUCGAAACCCAAACAAAUCCAACAGAAACCAAAAAAAACGAGGAGAAAAUCCAUCCAUCAACACUACGAAUCAAACAAAUCACGUAAACACCCACACGAAAACACACGGGAACAAAAACGAACACCACAACUACCUUGAGAUGAGGCAGCUCGAAGGAUCUGGUUAGGGUUGCGCGACUGGAGCUCUGAGCAUGGGGGAAUUCUAGGGUUUUGCUCCAAUCGAUCGAUUUAGGGCUUCGAUUUGGGGGUGGUGGGGAGGGGACGAAGCGGCCGCGUGCCCUAGGUUGGAUCUCCUCUCCGUUUAUGUACUCUUGUUAUCUUCUUAGCUCGCGAGGUCGAGAGUUUUAUUGUUAAUAGGGAAAACUUCAAAUACCACCCCGAUAGUUUCAUAUUUUUUCACUUUAGUACCUUAUGAUUUAAAAUGUAUCAAUUUAGUAUUAUGUGGGAUGUGGUUUUAUUUUUAUCUUUUUAUUAUCGAUUCCACUAAUUUUUUUUAUUAAAUCAGUGACAAAGUUAAAACUAAAGGGUACUAAAGUGAAUAUUCGAUAAACCUAGGUAGGGUAUCUGAAGUUUUUUGUAUAUAAUUUAACGAAAUAUUAACGGAGAAGCUGACGAAAAGAUAAAAAUAAAACCACGGGACACUAACUUGAUACACUUUAAACUAUAGGGUACUAAAGUGAGAAAGUGCAAAACUACAGAUGAAGCGUGUUACGAUGCUCCGCAAAACACCAACAAAAAUUUCGUGGGGACGGUCCCAAUAGAGAUCUCAAUGGGUGCGGAUACCUGAAAUUUUUAUUCGAAUUCGAAUUCGAGCGGAACGCAUUUACUUAAUGUUAAACACAUAUAGUUUCAAAUACAGAAAUAAAAAUUGAAAAUACGAUGGAUUUGAAUUUGGCAUGGAUUUUCAUUGUACCCUAUCCGAACCCGAAUUAAUUUUUCAUUAUAAUAUAUAUAGAGAAAGCGAGAGUUGAGCUGGAAUACUAUUAAUAAUAUUUGGAUUAUUUUACUAUCAAUUUUUUAACCGUUAAAUCUACACUUUAAUCAAUUCUUUUCUAAAUCAUACUAUUCAACCAAUCACUCACUCAACCAACCAAUCACCCACUCAACCUCCUGGUCCACUACUAAACCCUAGGAAACCAUUAUUAUUCUAAUCUUAUAAUUUUUUUUCAUUCAAGGAUUAAAAAUUUAAUAGCGAAAAAGCCCAAAAAUACUAUUAAUAAUAUUCUGGCCCAAUUUUAUAUAUUUAUAUAUAUAUAUAUAUAUAUAUGUAUCAUUAUUAGUAUAUUAAUUAUAUUAUUUAUAGUGAGUACUAUUUAUCGAAUAUCGGAGCCUCCGUGCUUCCAUCAUUCAUGUUUCGACUUCGAAUGUUCGAUCAGGCUCCUUAAACUUGAUCUGCUAUUGAAGUACUAAAAAUAAAACUUUUUUAUUUUUCGAUAUAAUUUUGCCUAGGUAUCGAUGGCUCAAAAUCAAAUCAAAUUUCAGAUGGCGUAGUAAAGCCGUUUAAGUUUACUAUAUAGAAAUAUCAAAUCAGUGGUGUAAUUUUGAUAGAAAUUCUUAGUAUACUAUAUAAAACAAGAUCAUUAUCUUUGAUUUAAAAUUUUAAUGUAAAUUAUUACAUUUUUGUAAGAUUUUUAUUUCACCAGUUGUAUUUUAAGCCCUUCGAUGCAUUAUUGUAAAUGAUAUCGAAAAUUGUAAAAAUAUUUUAGAAUUUUUAAAUACCUUAAUCAGUUUAACGAGAGCGUUAUCGAUAGAUUUUGAAAGCGAAAUGAAAACCAGUGAAGCCGGAGGCCAUGCUUCUGAUAGUAGUAGACUCACUCUUAUUUUUAUAUAUUGUAUAUAUAUAGUAUAAGUAUAUUUAGUCCGUUGAAUACUAUCAUUCACAAGGUUAUGUUAUCGAGUUUUCACCGUUUGACUCCUUAUUAUUCCGUUUAAUUUAUUACUUAUUCAAACCAACCACCCACUUCACACUGGCCCACAUCAUCUAAACUGUAUAUUUCUCAAAUCCAAUUCCUAUAAAAACUUAAAGCACUUAAUAAUUGUGUGAUUUAUAAGUUAUUUCCAGCCUAUUAUAUUAUAUUAUAUAGUUAAUAUAAUAUUAUAUAUUAUUAUUUAUAGAGUAGAGCUACUAGCUAUCGAUGACGUGAUCAUUCCGUGCUUCCAGUCGUUUUCAUGUCGACUUUUCGAAUCGAUUGCAUCCGUUGUAACUUAUCCUAGAUAUUGUGUACUAUAAAUAAAUUUAUAUUUUUCUUAUAUUAUUGCCUAGUGACGAAUUGCCUAAAAUCAAAAAUAUUUAAAUUGGCGUAGUAUCGUAUUCAAGUUUAACGGUUGAGAAAUACAAAUCACGUGUGUAAAUUAUUGAUAAAAAUUCUUCUUAACUAUAUAUAAACAAGAUCAAUAUCUUUGAUUUAAAUUUUUAAUGUCAUAUAUUACUUUUGUAAUAUUUUUUUUCACCGUUUUUUGAGCCCCUACGUUUACUAGCAAAAAUUAUCGUUAAAACAUAAAAUAUUUCUAGGUACUUUUUAUAACUCUAUGAUCAAUUUAACGUAUCCGAUCGACUUCGAAAGUCGCCGAACACCGCGAAACAGCUGAAUCACGAUAAAGCUCUGUUGUUAUUUACUGAUAGCAUAUAGCAUCACAUUAUAUAUAUAUUAUAUAUAUAUAUAUAUAUAUAAUAUAUAUAUAUAUAUAUUAAAAAUUUAGAUUUAAUAUAAUAUGUCUUGAUAUAUUGUGAAGAGAAAUAAUUAUUGCAGGUUCGGAUUUUGCAUUUUUUGUCAGAUUCGAAUUUGGAUAUGAAUUUUUAAAAUCCAUCGGAUUCGGAUUUGUGUUCGGAUUUUUUAAAACUCACCCUAAUUCGACCCAUUGGCAUUUCUAGUCCCCAACCCCAUCGCCGUUCAUUGUGCAGAUAUUUUGAAUCUCAAAGCAGUAUGAACAGUGAAUGAAAAAGCGCUCAUAUUAGAAAUUAUUUUCACCUAUUUUUUUGAAUAAUUUCAAAAGUCUCGCCAAAAAUUAUAGAAAUGUUGUAAAUAUUUCUUCAAAAUUGUCAAUAUUUUUUUUGUUUCUAUAAAUUAAUAUAAUAAAUUAUAUUAAAAAUGCCAUUAAAAAUAAUUGUGUAGUAUCAUGUGAGGCUAAUAUAUUUGUCUUUUAUUGAAAAAUAGCUUGGUCUUUGUUUAUGAUUUAAUUUGUGAGUGCCUUUUUAGUGUACUCAAGUUCUUUUUAUCAGUAUCAUGUGAGUCUCACAUUAAUAAUAAUAAAUAACUAUCUGAAACUAAAAGUAUGGUAUACUUUUUUGUAAUUAUUUAGUAUUAGUACAGUGCAGUUUGUUGCAAUUAAUGAGUUAUAAAUUGAUAUACACUCAAUUGUAUUUAUUAUGUUUUCAAACGAAAUAAUAUUUAAAUUAAUUAAAAAGAUAUAGAUAAUAGAUGAUGGACAAAAUAAAAUUUUAUUUAGUUUUUUUAAAAAAUUAUUAUUAAUUUGGAUAUUGAUGAUAGUUUUUCUAAAUUAAAGGAUACUUUGAUACUUUUAGCUUAGUAUUAUUGUAAUUCAUGGUUAGAGUAAGUACGUGUACAUAUGAAAUUAACCCUCUGUUUUUUUUUAGGAAUAUCGUGUGUCGGAUCGAGAUAAUUUUUAUCGUGAAAAUGAGUCUGUUUGGUUAGAAUGUUGAAUGUAGUACUGUGGAAGAAGUAUCGUAGAAUAUAGUAUUGGAAUGUGCAAAAAAAUUAAAAAAAAAAAGUAGUAAAGUGUUUCGCUGAUUCUGUCAUAAAGUGCUAUUUCUUAUAGAAAAUUAUUUGGUAAGAUUUUAUUAAAGUGUUGUUAACUAUUAUAAAUUGCAUAAAAAAAAAAAUUAAAUAGGCACCAUCGUACUUUUUAACUUUUAAGAAUUAUGUAAUUUUGGUAAAAGAAAAAAAAAGAAAUUAUUUAAGCUGAUUGAUACUUUUAUCAAAUUUCAUAACUCUGAUUAUUUUUUAGCUAUAAAAAUAAUAAUUUUUUACCUAUCUAAAUAUGAAAACUAAAUUAAGAAAAAAUAACAGUCGAGGGCCCUCAAUCGACAAAAUAAAAUUUGAAUGUCUAUUUAAGAAUGGCCUAAUGUUGAGGAGGUAUUCAUACAUUUUUACCUAAAAAACUAAAAUUUUAUUAAAUUUAAUAAUUUGUUUGUUAUUUAGUCUUAAUUGAUCUACUUUUAUUGAUUAGAAAAUAAAUGCGGGUUUAAAUUUGAUAAUUUAAUUUUAGAAAUUUUAAAUAAAUGGAGAAAGAAAAAGAUGUAGUUGGGACAUAAUAGAAUACUAUAAUUGUGUAAGAAUAAAUUUAUCAUUUUAGAAAUAUGAUUUAAAUGAGUAUCAUUUCGUAUUAAAUAACUACAGAAAUUUCGUCUAUCAGCUUUUGCGUUCAGGCUUAAAAAAUAAUUAAUUGCGACUUGCAACUAUAACAGAAUGUAGUCAAACAGUAUUUAGCAACCCUACGCAUUAUUUGGCCAAAACAAAAAUCAGGCCAAACAUGCACAAAGUCUCAUUCAACAUUCAACAUAUAAAAGUUUUGAAUAUCGUUGGAGGGUGUUGGGAUUACAGUCGCCUUCGAAAAGGCGUAUGAUAUGGUUAACUGGUCGUUUCUUAGAAAGGUUUUAGAAAUGUUAGGCUACAAUGACAAAUGGUGCGGAUGGAUCGGCGAAUGUAUUUGUAACUCUAAGUUGGUGGUCCUUGUCAAUGGUGUAGCAAAUAAGUGGAUCAAAUCUAAAAGAGGAGUGCGCCAAGGCGACCUUCUAUCUCCCUACCUUUUCCUUAUGGUAGUUGCGUGUCUGGCCAGGAUGACGGAAAGGGUGGAGGAAUCUAAUAUGCUCAAAGGAAUUGGACCAACGAGAGAUAACUCCGUCACUUUAAUACAAUAUGCAGAUGAUAACUUAUUUUUUUGUGAGGCGAGAAAAAGAUAUAUGCGGAAUCUCAAAUUUUUGUGGUAUCUCUUUGAGUGGGCAUCUGAAAUAAAGAUUAAUAAUAAGAAAUCGGAAUUAUUUUACAUGAGGAGUAAAAAAGAGAAGAAUGUUUAACUCUCUGGUAUCUUGCAGUGUAAAGUUGGCAAACUGCCCACUAAAUACUUGGGCCUACCGUUGACGUGCAGGAAGCUUAAAACAGAUGAUUCGGUAGGCAUCAUUAAUAACUUUCACAGGAGAAUUGAUGGUUCGCAGGCUAAACUGCUAUCUAGAGGUGGCCGUUUAACUUUGGUUAACUCUAUGCUUUUUAACCUGUCGAUGCACUUUUUCUCUAUUUUUAAAGCACCUAAAUGGGCUCUAAAGCGCAUGGAAGCCUUGCGAAGGGACUUCUUUUGGAGCCGGCGAGCAAGCUAUACAGGGGGCGUCCACUUGGUUGCCAGGAAAAACGUGUGCAUGAGUCGGGAAGAAAGAGGUCUAAGAGUUAAGGAUUUGGCUACUAUGAACAAUGCUCUUCUAACAAAAUGGUGGUGGUGCUUUUUUUCUGAAAAGGAAUUACAAUGGACUGAGUUGAUCAGGGGAUUAUACUAUAUCAGAAGACGCUCACUAUUUGAAGGUCGAUCAUUUCGACCUGCCUCACAAUAGUGGAAGAACGUGUUAGAAUUGAAAGAUGUGUUCAAAAGUGGUCUAAGUUAUGAGCUGGAAGAUGAACUACUCAUUGAUUUCUGGUCUGACAGAUGGUGUGGUGACACGUCUCUUAAGUCUCGCUUUCCGGACAUUUUUGCUCUUGUUGAUCAUAAAGAGGCGCGAGUCGGUGAAUACUUCUCUCUCUCCUGAUGGAGCUGGCGGAAGAUGCUGAGAGGGGCGAGAAGUUACACACAACACAGUAGACAGAGAACUAAGGAAUUAAAGACCGCCCUCACUAACUUUCGAGUUACUGGUCAACCUGAUGUCAUCUUCUGGAGAUGGAACCCCGAAUAUAAUUUUACUAUUAAAUCUGUAUACUCGCUGGUCAGAACUGGGGGGGUCAAAGAUGUUGCAACACCUGUCAUUUGGAAAUUGCAAAUCCCGACAAAAGUCAAAAUUUUUCUCUGGUUAACCUUAAAAGAGAGACUACCUACUGUGAACAAUCUGCUUAAAAGAGGAUAGUUAGGAAAUAACUGUUGUGUCUUGUGUGCCGACAGUCUGGAGACAGUUGAUCACCUGUUGGUGGGAUGUGUCGUUAGCAAGUUCAUAUUUUUUUCAUUCCUUAAAUACUCCCACGUUCCCCCCUCCACUGAGGACGCCACUACCGCCUGGGAGAAGUUGUCAGGGAAGGGGUCACCGGCUGACAUUGCGAAAGCGCAGACAACCAUGGCAGCCACGUGGUGGUUGAUCUUGUGUGAAAGAAAUAACGUGAUUUUUCAGAUGCUACCAAUGGACGCUAUCUCUACUGCCCAUCAUGUCGAAGUACUAAUGAAAGAGUAGGCCAAUUUCUAUAGAGUUGGGCGGUGAUGACAUUUGUUGCAACCUUCCUUCGAUGUUUGUUUUCGUCUCUUCGGUUUUUCGUGUUUUUAUCUUUACAUUACUCUUUUUUUCUGUCUUUUGCCCUUUCUCUAUUAUUUUUUUUUAUUUUAUUGCCUCCCCGAGGCCUUGACUGUCUCACUUUAUGUAGCUAAAUUCACUUAUUUAAUGAAUGAAGCAGGUAGCGUGUCACCUUUCUCUCAAAAAAAAAAAGUUUUGAAUAUCGAAGCCACAUUAAUGGUGUAUGGAAGAGUCUCGUUUUAAAAUUUUGUUUCCUUUUUUUUUCAGAAACACUAAGUGUUGGGUGUCACAGUUCGGUUUGAAUUUUGGAGAGGCUUGUAUUAGAAACUUUUUUCACCACUUUUAUUAUUAUUAUUAUUAUUAUUAUUAUUAUUAUUAUUUAAUUAGAAACAUCAAGUGUUGGGUGGGACCCUCCUCAGCAUGAGAAUGUCUCAUUUAUUGAUUUAAAUCUUUUUAUUUAGGAACACUAGGGUUGGGACUGCAUUUGGCAAAGUUGCAUUGGGACCCCUCAACUCUAGAAAAUUUUGAAUGAGAUCCCUUUGUUUUGUAUUGCUGCUCUUUUUUAUUUUAUUUUUGUAAUUAUAGAUCUGAGUAAAAUAGAAUGCUCUUCUGGAAUUGAAUGGGAUCAUCUACUUUUGUAUUAGUGACAGAAAAUUCAGACUAAAUAUAAAUGUUUGAACUUUUUAUAAAUCGAAUUUUGAGAUUUUAAAAUAUCAUUUAUAUACUGAUUAAGUGGUUUCAAAUUUAUCAUAUAUUAGUAUUAAAAAUUACUAAAUUUGAAACCAUCAAAAACUUAGCAAAUUGUAUUGAAAAAUUACAAAAUUAAGUUUAAGAAAUUUAAAUAGCCGAAAUUAAGUUUAGUCAUGUCGUUCAUCAAUUCAGAUGUUUCAUUACUGGAAACGGCGAACGGUCGUAUCAUAUAUUUACUUAUUUUCUUGAAAACUGAAAAGAAAUUAAUAAAAAAAUGUACAACCAUGGCAUAGAAUAAAGGUUCUUUUAGUGAGGCUUUAACUUAAGAUUUUUUUUUCUGAAUUAAGCAAUUUUAGUGAAUUAAUGAAAAUUUUAUUAUACUUGUCUUUCAAUUUUAUUAAAUUUAAAAAGUUAAAUACCAAUAUACUACUCUACAUUUAAAUAAUUAAUUUAUAUAUUCCUCUAUAUUUUAAGUUAACCUAAUACAAUAAGCAUAACACAAGUAAAAUAAAGAGGGAAAAAAAUGAAAAACAAUUCAAGAAAAUUUUAAAAUAAAAAAUUUGCAUGAAACAAUCUAGUGCUAAUAUCCUGUAAAAUAACUAAAUAUAAUAAAGUUUUUAAUCUAGCUAACAAGUAUAGCCCAAACUUAAAAUAAAUAAAUAAAUAAAUAAAUAAAUAAUAGAAGUUAGCCCUUGUUUGGUAUUAUUAUUGUUUUUUUAAAUAUGCAUUCUCUAUAAAAUAGUAUGGGAUGGAUGAAGGGUGGGUUAUUUUGAAAGGGCGUAUUUCAUAAUUUUCGAUAGUUAGGGGGUCUCGGUGCAUUUUUACCGCUUGCGUUCUCGUUUUCUACUAUUAAUGUUAGAUCUGCGGAGUACGUUACCGUGAGUGGACCAAGCGUAGCUGUUCCCUGAACCCGGUCCACGGUUUCGUCUGUAGACCGCAAAGCAAGGGUUGGGAUUGGAACCAAAAAAAACAAAAAAAAAAACCUUCCAAACAAUUUUGGUUCAGUUCGGUCCGGUUUAUUGUUUGGUUCAAAGCGAGAAAUCAACCAAACUCAAAUUCAAAUUUUAGAUUUGAUUUGGUUCAAUUUUUUCACAUUGUGGGAACAAUCUCUCAGAAUGUUUCAUUUAUCGUUCACACUGUUUUAAAAUUCACUUAGAUUUUGUCAGAAAAGCGAUUUCAAUACCAUGUUAAAGAUUUUAAACCAACCGAUUUUUUCUGAAAUUACGAAAUGCUAAAGAACACAGUAUCAUAUGGAGUGUUCCCACAUUCUCCAUCAAAUUUUUGUUAUGACAAUUCUCUAAUUUAGGUUUUUUUUUUUUGGGUACUCACAACUUUUCCUUUGAAUCUUACUUCUAACCUUGCUUUAGGUAGAGAAGGACAGCUGAAAGUUGUAAACUUUCCUUUUAAGAAGCCAUCUGCUUCACCUAAUAAAUGUAACAUGGAAAAUGAGAAAUGCUUUUGAGUUUUCCAUAAACAUGAGUUGUUGAGGGAUUUAUACUAUAUAUAUUUUUACAUACGUGCAUAAAUUAGUUAAAAUUCUCGACAUUCUAAGCGGUAUUAGGCAAACACAUCAUACCCACUUAUAAAAUCAUAUAAAAUUUCACUAAUAUGCUUACAUUAUAAGAUUUCAAUUGUGUGAUUUGUACAACUUACAAAAAUAAUGAUCUAGUUCAAGCAUAAAAUAAUAAUUAUAGUAGACAAAAUAAAUAGAAAAUUACCAAUUAUAUGUAUGAGGAAGAAAAGGAGAAUCUAAAACUGGUGAUGAGCAAAGCAUUUUCCAUACUUACCAAUAUGAUAAACUUUGGCACGUGCUCCAAAAGUACCACAUGAAUUUAUUUUUACAUCAACAUAGAAAAUUCAGUAAUAAUGUUUAAUGUUUAAUGUUUAAUUCUAUCCAAAGUGGAAGUAUAAAUGACUACCCACACAGAAGGCAGUUUCUUUAUCAACUCAGUACACAGAAUUUUCUUGAAAAUCUAAAAACUCUUGCAUUACCCACUACUAUCUCAUUAUUUUGAAUUUAAGUUGUAAACUAACAAGAUAGUUACUAGUAAGUUUAAAAAAUUAAAGAGAGUCCCUUACCAACAGGUUAAAGGAAUCAUCACUCACAAAAUUGAACAGCUUAUCUCAACCAAACUUAAAUUCUAAAUCCAACAUAAAAUGAUCUGGAGCAAACCAAAUAUUGAUAGUCUAAAUUUCUCAUGAAGUAUCAAAGAAAAACCAAGUCUUCCCAUAAAAGCACCAAAAAGUAAAACUAGAGUCUCAAAUAGACCAAAAUCUGCAAUUAGAACAAUAAUAAAAUAUCUUCUUAACCGCAAGACUACACGCUUCGACAAAAGAAACUCAUCGAAAUCAAAUAGAUAAACUGCACGAAAAACAGGAGACGCGGCUUAGGCCUUAAGCUUGCCGUAGAAUUUCUGCUUCUCCUCAGUCGUCUGGAAGCGGCCGUGGCCAAACUUCGAGGAGGUGUCGAUGAACUUGAGCUUGAUCUCCUCGAGAGCAAGGCGGGAGGUUUGCUUCAACAAGGAUUGGCGGAGAGUAAUGACCCUCUUCUUCGGGCCCAUGCAGCAACCCUUGAUCAUCACAUAAUCGUCCUUCACAAUACCAUAGUGGGGGAAACCACCCAUCGGCGUGAUAUCCUUCUCAGUCCUGUUUAGAAAGGGUGGGGAAAAAAAAAAGGACUGUCAACCAGAGCCGCAUAAAACACAUGGGUCAGAUGGAAAAGAUAUAUAAAUGAGCUAAAGAGGGUGUCAGCAAUAUCAUUCGACUGGCCCUAUUAUAGUUCUUUCUUUUGUUACUUUAGUACAACUUUAAUCAGUUGACCAUUACUUUGAGGUAAAAUACAUUACUGGUCCUCAAUCUUUUAGCCAAAUUUCCAUUCGGUCCAUUACAUACUUAGUCGACUAAAUUUCUCCCUUAGAAUAGACUUUCAUGGACAUAAAAUGGACAUCGGAAUAACUGCGGUAGGAGUUAGGGACCGAACAGUAAAAAUUGAAAGGUUAAUCCCAAACUUAAGACUUGGCUGAUAAUAAUUAUCAUAUUUCAGAUAGUAAUUAAAGGAAAAGGAGGAAUAAUAACCUGUCAAACUCGGUUACAGCAGUAUGUGAUUCGUCGCCAGCUUUACCAAGCUUGUAUAUCUUCUUGUUCAAUUCAGUGCGGUGGUGGUAGCCAUUCUGACCGGCUCGAGCAACAGUGUAGGAAACCCUAGCCGGGUGCCAUGCGCCAAUACAGGCAACCUUACGAAGCCCCCUGUGUGUUUUGCGAGGAAGGCGGGUAACUCCCCACCUCGUCACCACACCUUCGUAACCCUUACCUUUGGUCACACCGAUCACAUCGAUCAUCUCAUCUUUUUGGAAGACGGCGUCGACAGGGAUCUGCUUCUCAAAGAAGCCAUAAGCAUAAUCCACCUUUUGUGCAAUGGUUCCUCCGUUCACCUGGAUUUCCAUCAGAUGAGCCUUCUUCUGUUUGAGGCCCUUCAUCUUUCUUAUCUGAAUCAAAAGCAACAUGACAAAAAACAAGUUCCAUUAGAAGAAUACAAACCACAUAUAUAUACACAACUCUAUCAUUAAGGAGAAAAUACAAGCAAUGGAGGGGUAAAAGGUAAACUAAUUGUUAUAGAACAAAAGUGUGAACACAUUUUUAGGCGGUACCUGAGUAUGAGCUAGCACACGGAUAACCGAAGCAUACUUUUUCAUCUUAUCGAGCUGCACUUGAAUUUCCUUCUUUCCUUCUUCCGUUUCAUAUUUCUUAGAGUACUUUGUGAAAGCCUUCUUCUUGCUUUUGUACCAGUUCUUGUAGAAUCUCCUCCUCACUUCCUCGCUCAGAUGCUGGGCCCACACUGUAUUAAGGGAGCGCAGGCCACGUGGCGUCUUGAUGUAUGCAACAAUACCAACAACAACCAUGGGCGGAGUUUCAAUGAUAGUUACAGCCUCGCAUGUCUCCUUCUUGUGAAGCUCUGAAUGUCACCAAGAGUUAAAUCAAAAGGAGUCAAUUAUAAGUAAUUAUUGCACAAUAAAAAAAACCUAUACAAAGAAAACAUAAGUACAAUGGCACAAGUUGAUGGCGAAGCAAAAAAGAAAUAGAUGAAUAGUGAGAUAUAUUAUCAGUGCCACAUGAAAGCAGAAACUUAUCAACCUUAAUGUAAACAAAAGCCAAUAAAACUAAAAUUUUCAAUAUAAGCACGAUGAAGAGUGUUUUGAGUUAGUUAUGGAAGUAAAUAGUGAAAAGAUGAGUCAUUUGUGAAAAAUUUCACCUUAAUUACCAAAAAACAAUUCUAAGACCAGCAAAGGCAAGUUUUAAGAUAAAUAUAAAGAUUAAUAGUUGACGCAUCAACUUUUCUUCUAGUCAUCAACACAAGAAGGUCCAAAAAAGAGAGAAAAUGUAAUAGAGUAGCAGAAAAGAUGUAAAUAAAAUGCAUAGAACAUAUAACCUUACAAACACCAUCCAAGUGAAAAAAAUAUACAAUGGUUCAGAUUAAAUAUUAACAGCAAAGCUGACAGGCUUACUGGAUCCUGGUUUGUCGACCUCACGAACAAUGUGAGUCAUUCCAGACUUGUAACCAAUGAAGGCAGUGAGCUUGCAGGGUUUUGUCAAGUCAUCCUUCGGAAACGCCUUCACUGCAUUGAGAAAGCCAAGCAUAAUCAUAUCAGCACAAGAAAAAGACAAACGCAAUGAUAAUUUCAGCAAUUUAAAGGGGUAUGCUACAAUAAAAUGAAACAAAAGUAACAGAUGCCAGUUUCUUGGCCAUAACACAACCAUAAUGCUUCUUAACCUUUAAGACACGAUAUGGUCCGAAAGCAUUUAAGUUGCAAUAGGAAAGAUGAAAGGAGAACAAAUCAAGCUGAAAAACCCUACCAAUUAAUGUUCCCCCAGAAAGACUGAAGUUAUGAAACAAGCAACUUUGCAGCUUACUAUAAAUUCUCAAUUUACGGAUCCGAUCUACUUACGAAUGUGGUAUAUUUCAUUAAGAAAGCAUAUUUGGAGCCCUAAUGAACUGCAACCGAGGCCGUAAACUUUAUAACAUCAGAUGGAAAAGCAUUAGAGCUCUAAAUCAUGAUGAUAGCUUAUAGAAGAAAAAUAGGUAACUUUAAUGGCAUCCGGAGAAAACUUUUAACAUGUUAUACGUAAUCAUACUAAUCGGAGUUACCUUUCCCACGGUGGCGAGAUGCUCUCUUCCUUGGAAGAAAGCCAAGGGACCCGUGCCUCGGGUGCUCGAACUUCCGAUGCGACAUCUCCCUUCCCUCUACUCACCCUAAUAUAAAUAAAUUAACUUCAUUUACAGAUUCAAAACAAAGUUACACCUUUGUACAUCAGCAAGGCGAUUUGACAAAAAACUACAUAACAUUAAAAGCUCUAUGAAUCAAAAGAAUACAACAUGUUGCAUCCUACAAUGCAAUAUCCAGUAUAUUUUACUCUACAAAUAACGAGGCUUAAGCAAAUAAAUUUCAUCUAAAACACGCCAUUAAUCUAUGAUCCAAAAUAACUAAUAGUACUUUAUCACAGCUUUUGCUACAUCAUUUAGCAUAGUACUAAUUAAAGCAAUGAAAAUUAAAAAACAAAAUAAGAGAUUUACAUGCACUUGAAUACAACAGAUCGAAGAACAACAACAAAAAAAGCGCAUUUUGAACGACGCAAAGGAAACGAAUCAACAGCAAACGACUUCCGAUCUAAGAAGCGAUUCAUAGGAACGAAUUAUAAACAGAUGUUACAGAGAAACUGAGAUUACGGUGUCGAUCGAGAGAAGAAACUAGGGUUUGAGAAACAGAAACCCUAAAUGAGAUGAGCGAGAAUGGGAGAUCGAAGAGACUCGUACCUCAGCGAUCGCCGCCUCCACGAAGAAGGGUUUCGGCCAAAACCCUAGCCAUGCUUUUAUACGCACAAGCACACUGGGGGACGCGGAUGUUAACUGAAAUGUCGAAAAUGCCCUUGCUCUUUCCAUUUUAGACCUAAAGGUCCAACCCUAGGCCCAGGUUUUGGGGAUGUUUAAUGGGUUUAGAUUUUAGCCGAAUCCGAAUCCGAUUUAUUUGAGACUAAACAGAUCUAAGUUUGAAUAUAGAUAUAAAAAAUAAAAAUUUCACGGAUUUUGAAUUCAAGUAUGAAGUUUUUUGUACCCAAUCUGAAUCCGAACCCAAACCCGAAUUGAUUUUAUAUUAUAUAAUAAUAUAUAUAAAUGAUGAUUGAUGUUAUAUUUAAAUUUGUAUUUUAAAUAUUUAGAUUUAAUAUAAUAUGUUUUGAAAGAUGAUGAAAAAAAUAAUUAUUUCAGAUUAAGAUUUUCAAUUUUUAAAUUUCAUCGGAUUCGGGUUUCGCAUUUUUUAAAAAUUGGAAUCUAAAUUUUCAAGACCGGCCCUCCGAGUAUCCAAAAUCUCGCCCGACAAGGCCCAACCUGGUAACCGAAAGUCGCAUAGAUGAGCUUCAAAUCCCAAGUUACAUGAGGAUUCGAACCCUGACCUUGUAGUUCGCAUCAUGCACCUAACUAUCAAACCGACGAGAAAUUAUUACCUGGACCAUAUUCUCGAUCAUGUCUAGGCGCGGAACUAGACCUGAGCCUAAACAAGGCUCGGCCUGAUUGGCUAUGUAUGGGCCGGACUUUGGAUAUAAAAAUUAUAACUUUGGAUUUGAAUCGGGUUUAAACAUUUAAGCCUGAAAAAUUUUUGAGCCUAUUUGUACAUGUCGAAGACCUGUCCAACCCCGAAAGUUCAAUACAUUAGUUAUCAAAAUAAGAUAUUUAGUUAUAUAUAUAUCUAUACUACUUAUAAAAGUGUGAGUUUUAAAUUUUUUUCUGUUUCCAAAAAUACCUUUAUCUUUUCUACUAAUAUUUUCAUAACCAGUAAUUUUCAACCAUUCGUUUCAAAUAAUUUUUCAAAUAAUAAUUUAUUCUCAAAUAUAGAUCUUAAGUUUUUACCAUUGGAUAUCAUCCAACGAUUAAAAAUUUUCUUAAUUAUUCUCAAAUAUUUUUUUUAGUAAAUCAUUUCUCAUUUGUCACCGUUGCCGGCACCGGCAUUUUUUUUAGUAAAUCAUUUCUCAUUUGUCACCGUUGCCGGCACCGGCACAUGGUCAUCAUCCUCCUCAUCAUCAUCAUCAUCACCGACACAUUGUCCCUGUCGUCACCUUCGCUACAUGUUAUUUGAUCCCACCGAAUUUUUUUUAAUUAGUAUUUCCUUAUUUUUAUGUAUCGCUACAUGUUAUUUGAUCCCACCGAAUUUUUUUUUAAUUAGUAUUUUCUUAUUUUUACGUAUGCGUUUAUCAAAUAUAAAAUAUAUAUUUUUUUAGUAAUAUCCUUUUAAAUAUUUUUUUUGUGACAUAGCUGUCAAUACUUUCUUACAUAAUGUGCACGUUUUCUCAAAUACUUAUAUUAUAAAUUAAUUAAAAAUAUAAAAAACUUAUUUAGAGAUAAAUUAAAGUUAGAAAAAAUAAUUAAAUAAUUGACAUACACCACCAAUAACGAUUUAAAAUUUGAAAUAUAAAUAUAAAUUUAAUUUAAAAUUAGAUAUGAUAUUUUGAAUUAAAAAUAAAUUAAAAUUUUGAUGCUUUUAGAUUAAAAUAUAUAUCCAAUAUUCUAAAUAUCCUUUCUAACGAGUGAUACUUGCUACCUAUCAUCUCUUUUCAUCUUUCUCAGAUAUCGAGCAUAUCUUGAUAAAUAUCCUAACAUAAUUUAAUCUCACAAUCUUCUUAUUCUUAUCCCAAUCUUAUAUAUAUACUUAUUCUUUUUCUCACGUAAUACCCGCUACUUAUGCAUUUGUAAUUGCAUAGGUAGCGCCGGCAUAUCAUUGUUGUCAUCUCCACCGGCACAUCUUUAAUCCUCCUUUUCGCCGGCACAACUUUGUUUUGACCUUUGUUAGUAUGCCGUCGUCAUCAUUACAUUGCAUGUAUAUCGACGGAAGUCCACGAAUUAUGCCAGCGCUGUUGAUGAUCUACCGACAUGUCAUCAGUGGUCGAGAUACAUGCAUAUGCACGUCAUCGGUGGUCAAUAAUGUAUGCAUUGAUAAUUUAUAUACACAUCAAUGAUACUCUCCCUCAUCUUAUAUCUAUUGCUAAUAUAUAUUUUUUUUUUGAAUUUUUCUUUUUUUUUCUAUUACUAAUAUAUCUUUUUUUUAAUAAUUUAAUUUUUAGCUAGAUUUACUUUUUUUUAAUUAAAGAUCUCAAAGUCUCACUCUAAUUGUUUUCCUUUUAUUAUCUUUAAUUUCUUCCGAAGCAAGUUUAAUAAUUAAAUUCAAAUUAUAUUUCCUUUUCUUUAGUUAAUUUAUUUUAAUAAUAUCAUUUUUCUUUACAUAUAAUAUACUAACACUUUCUAUCAAAUUUUAAUACGUAAAUGCUACAUUAGUUUUCUAUCACCUGCACAUACCCAAUUUAUACAAAAGUAUACCACACCUUUAAAAAGCUCACGAAUUUAAAUUAGAAUUCAAUUCAUAUUAUGUGAAAUUAAAAAAAAUUACAAAAUUCAUAAAUAUAACAAUGUUUCUAUGACAUUAUAUAUUUUUAGUAUCUAUUUACCAAAUUCACCAACUUUUUUUAUAUUGUUAAUUUUUAUGUUCAUUUAAUGUCUAGAUAUUAGGUUUUAAAAAUUUAUAAAUUUUAAUGUAUAAUUUUUUAAAAACGAAUGUUAAAUAUUGAAUGUGGUGUAUAAAACAUGUACAUUGGUACAACAAAAACUCCUAUCUCGAUAGGAUUCAAAAUUCUCCCAAAACUGUAUUAAUAUUUUUACAAUCUUCUUCAAAUCAAUUUGUGUAUAUAUAUAUAUUUGAGGCUAUAACAAAUGUUAAAAUCUUUGUCCAAAUUAAGCCCAAUUAAUUUGAACAGUAAUAAUUAAAGAAUAAUAGUACAGUUAGUCUAUAUUUCAAUUUCAUUAAUAAUUUAAAAUUAAUAUAUAUUUUAGAAAAAAAUUAUUUAAGUUUUUCUCACGUGCAUUGCACGUGCAUAUGACUAGUAAUAAUAAUAUUUAGAGUUAGUUGAGCUCCCUGUAAAACAUAACAAAUAGCAAAUAUAUCGCUACAAAGUUCAACUUUUCAUUCUUAUCCCUGCAAAAGUCUAAUAAUAUUUAUAUUUGUUCCUCUGAUUUAUUAUCGUUUGAAAACUAUUUUUUUAACAGUAGAUAAAUAAAAUGUCAAUUUUGCCUCUACAAAUAUGCCCCUCCAAAAAUUCCAACUACUAUAAUCAUGCAGAAAUAUCCCCCAAAAAAAUUUCAAUAGUCAUCUUCUUUAUCUUUAAAACCCAAUCCAAUCCAUCAUUGUUGCAACCUUUUCUCUCACCCCUUUUUCUUCUUAACAUUUUCUUUUGAGCAAAAUAAAAAAAAAAAUUAUAGAGAAAAUUGAAUGAGGAAGUAACACGCGUUCGAUAUGGGUGAAGCAACAUGCAUCGCAGAUGAAUAGGGAUGGAGAAAUUCUAGUUACAGGUUCAAAACUAGCAUGAAGAAGAGAAAGGAGGAGAAAGAGAAAGAGGAAGAGGAAGAAGAAGAAGAGUUCCCAUUGCUAGGGUUUUGAUUGAGAGAAGAAAUUAUAGCAUAAAAAGAUGUAAAAAUAUUAAUUUACCUCAUUGACUAAUGGUAAGUAUUUUAUCUAUAGUUAACUAAAUUUUUCUAACGGAUCCUAACGGUAGAGGCAUAUUUGAGAAUAUUAGGAUUUUUAUAGGGAUAAUAUAAAAAAGUUGAACUUUGUAGGAUAUAUAUAUUUACAAUUCACGAUAUUUACGUAGAGUUGUAUGUAAUUAACCUAAUAUAUUUAUUAAAUAUAGUAUAGUAUUAUUAAAGAUAUAUAUAUUAAUAUAUAUGAUGAUAUGUUAUAUAUAUAAUUAAAUAUCUAAUUCUCAUAUUCUAAUUUAAUACAAAAUAAAAAUAUAUAUGGACUAUGUGACCAAUGCAUAAAGGAUAUGUUUGUUUCAUCGAAACUGGACUUUGGGUUGAAGUGGAGUUCGGUGAAAACUACUCCUUCCUCGUUGUUUUUUUCGUAGUUACGAAAGCGAAGUUUUAUUAGGUUUUUUGUUUGUUUGGUAGGAAGUGUAUAAUGUAAAACUAAAAUUUAUAUAAUAAUAAAUAUUUUAAUAAAUAAAAAUAAUAUAAUUAUAUUUUUAUACAUAAAUUAUAGUAAUACAACAAUAAAAUUGUAAAGUAAAAAAUAUAUUAAUACUUAAUUAAUCAAUCUUUAUCAUAUUUUAAUUGUACAAACUAAAUAAAGAAAAUAUUAAAAUUUAACUAAUCAAUUUUUAUCAUAUUUUAAAUAUGUCAACAGAAUAAAAGAGUAAUUAAUUACAUAAUUAAAUAUAUUUAAAUAUAACUAUUUUUAUCUAGUAUAUUAUUUUAUUAUUAUUUUUUCAUCUCUCUUCACCAUAAUUGACUUCUUCCAAUAAUAGGCUGAAGUCAAUUACGCCGUUUGAGAUUAACUCGAGUUUCGACCGUAACUUUUUUACGGCAAACCAAACAACAGAAGUGAUAUUUCAAGGCAAGGCGAAAACGACUUCCUUCCUCUCCCCUUCUACCCCAUUCCUACCCAAACAAACAUGCCCAAAGUGGGCCUCAACAACCCGAUGGAUAUUGGGCUUUGAGCUUGAGCCUGGAUCGGGCCUUAAUUUUUCUUAAAAAUUAGAUAGAAGCCGAUACAAAGCCCAACCUUUUUUUGGGCCGGCCCGAGCCUAGCCCGCCAAGAUUCGGAUUUAGGCCGUGCCAGCUCGGACGGGGCCCAUUUAACUAUUUUUUUAUGUUUAAUAAUUUAAUUAUGUUUUUUAAAAAUUUAUUAUUUAUCUUAUAAUAUAGAGCUGGGCUGGUAUUCUCUACCAAGUUGUUUUCAAUGAUGCGGCUUUCAAAUCGACGAUCGGCUCCGUUAGACUUGACCUACACUAUUAAAAAUAUUUGGAAACAAAAUUUCAUAAUUUUUCGACAUCAUUUGGCUAGUGAUCAAAAGAUCUCAAAAUUGACAAUUUUAAUGGUAUAUAUUAUGCGUUUGUGAAUUUAACGGUGUAAAACAAUCCAAAUCUUAUGAAAUUUUUAUAGAAAAUUAUUUUCACUAGUUAGAGUAGGAUCAGUAUCUCUGAUCUUAAAUUCAAGCCUUUUAUCAUCAUUUUUUAUGAAAUUUUUACUUUCAGCCGUUUAUUUUUAGACUACUCGUUUGAUAGGUAAACGGCACCGAAAAAUUAUGAAAUUUAGUUUCCAAAUACUUUUAAUAGUAUAGAUCAAGUUUAACGGAGCCGAUCGUCGAUUUGGAAGCCGCAUCGUUGAAAACAACUUGGUAGCACGGAGGCCUCCGUGCUACCGAUAGCAGACCAGCCUAGCUCAAAUAUAUAUUUAUUUUUUUAAUAAAUAAGUUCUAGGCGAUUUUUUUAAAAAUUAUUUAAAUUUACAUAAUUUCCAAUCUGAGAUGGACGGUGCCGCACACUUUGCUUUGUCCCGGCAUAGCCCGUAUUCAUGUGGGUCAUGCUAGGCCACAUGCAACCAAUCUACGCCCAACACGACCAGCAACGGUUCCUGGCCGGGCCUGUUCACGAGCUGUCUGACCCGUUUUACACUCUAUUUGGAUGAAAGAAUAUGUACUUAGAAUAAUAGUCCUCUCUAGAGUUUAGCAGGUGGCUGGUUGAAUAAUAUAAUCUAAGAGAUAGAAAUGAUCAAAAUGAUAAAUCUAACAAUGAAAAAUUUGGUAGCACCAAGUGCUUAGUGCUAUUGAUAAUACUGUACCAAACUCUAUACAUAUAUAAAUAUACAUUUAUAUGAAAGAUCACUAUAUAGUUUUUUGAAAUAAGUUAUUUCUCUCUUUGUCAGAAUCAAGCAAUCUAAAGUGUUAAAAUAUAUUUGCUGUAAAAUAAGAAAUAGGAAAAACUUCAAAAAAAAACCCUGUGGUUUCCUACUUUUUCAUUUAGUAUCAUGUGGUUUAAAGUGUAUCAAAUUAGUACCAUGUGGUUUCUCACUUUAUCACUUUAGUACCCUGUGAUUUAAAGUGUAUCAAGUUAGUACUCUGUGGUUUUAUUUUUAUAUCAAGUUAGUACCCUGUGGUUUUAUUUCUGUAUCAAGUUAGUACCCUGUAAUUUUUAAACCAUAGAGUACUAAAGUGAUAAAGUGCGAAACCACAGGGUACUAAAGUGAAAAAGUGCAAAACUGUAUGGUACUAACUUGAUACACUUUAAACCAUAUGAUACUAAAGUGAGAAAAAGUGAAACCACAAGGGGGGUAUUUGAAAUUUUCCCUAAGAAAUAUCUGAGCUGAAACAAAGUAGACAUAAAAAAAGAAAUUAAAAAAAGAGCGUCACAAAACCACAAUUUAUAGCAUUUCACCAUCAUAUCAUUAAAUUAAAUCAGCAUUAAACAAGUGCACCACAAAUCUACAAUUCAAUGCAUGUCAUCAUCAUCAUCAUAAUCAUUAAAUUAAAUCAACAUUAACAAGCAAUAACUCCAAGAACAGAUCAAUUAGCUCCUAAUACUGAUUUAACUAAACAAACCCUAUAUUUAAACAAACAAACAAACUCCUAUAAUUCCUAAAUUAAUUUCCACCACUCCUCCCCCUCUUCCUGCUAUUAUUAUUAUUAUUAUUCGCGGCCGGUUCCGUCGUCGCGGCGUAUAUCGACGCCAGCGAUCGGAACCGCGUCUUGCUCGGCCGGUCUUUCCCGCACUUCUGCUCCUCUCCUUCCUUCAGCCUUCUACUUUCUUUCUGGUGAUCGUUUUCAUUUCUAUUCUCGUCAUUACUUUCGUUCGCCGUAUUCGUCGUGUUCUUCUUGUUCUCCUCGUUGUCGUCGCGUUCCGCCGCCUCCUUGUCGGGCACCGUAAACUCCAUUAACUCCGCGCGCAUAAUAUAUUUGUAAUAUAUUUGUUUUUUUAUGUUGGUUAAGGAGAGGAAGAAGAGAAAGAUAUUUGAUCUCCUUUGUUGUUGUUUUUUUUUUUUUUUCUUUUUUUUUGGGGGGUUUCUUUUCUUAUGGACUAAGGAGGGGAAAAAGGGGGUGUUUGAAUGGUUUUGAUUACGUGUGGGGGGAGUGUUUAAAUAUAGAAGAGUUUGGGCAUUUGGAAGAGCGCGUUUCUAGAGAGAGAAAGAGAAAGAAUAUUGCAUGCACUUGGUGCACCAUGCACCGCACUUUUAAACCUAUCAUAAGGUUUUUUUGAAAAAAAUUAAAAUUUAUAUUUUAUAGGCUGUUUGGUUCAUCGAAAAAGUAUGCAGAAAAGUUUAUAAUAAAAAAUAGUUUUUCAUCGAAUUUUCUUUUUUUAUUUCUCCGCCAGUUUGGUUUUAACAAAAUAGCUCUUUUUUUCUAAUUUUUUUUUUUUCAGAUUUUAAGAAAAAUUAGUGUUUUUGUUUUUUGAAUUUUAUUUUAGAAAAACGAAAACACCAAUUUUCCAUAAAUUGGAAAAAUAAAUAAAAAAUUAGUUUAAAACUAGUUAUUUUAAAAAACCAAACGGGCAAAAAAUUAAAAAGGAGGUUUUCUAUAAAAGCUUUUUUUUUUUUUGGAAAAACUUUGUUUCCAUUUUUCGCUCCGAAGGGGGUGUUUGGUUUAUUGAAAAGUUAUGGAAAACUAUUUUUCGAAAAAAAAAGGUUUAUCAUACUUUUUAUUUUCUGGAUAAAAAAUUUGAAAUACAAUCCGAAAAAAAAAAAGAUAAAAAUUAUGUUUUGAAAAUCAAAAGAACGAAAAAUACCUUUCAGCAAAACAAAAAAUUUUGAAAUAUUUUUUGGGGAACCAAAAAGGUUCUUAGAUAUCAAGAAUAAUAAAAAGAAUAAUACUUUAUCCAUUUAUAAAAGUUUAUAAUAUUGUACUUACACAAAUGUGACACUUUUCUUAUUAUUUCUUUUUAUUUACAAUAAUAUAAUUUUAUUUAUAAAAUGAACCCAUUUAUUAAGGAUGCUGCUAAUUAAUAUUGAGAUAGAGCUCUUCACAAAAAGUACAGUACUUAUUUUUUCCUUACUACAUGUUUUGGUACUUUACCCUAAUAAAUGGGUAGAAAANUUCGCGAUAAUAAAUCUAAUCCAUAAAUUUUAUAUUUUACUUUUUUAAAACUAUAUAUAUAUAUAUAUAUAUAUAUGAAUUAUUUUGAAUUAAUUAUUUAAAUUUUUAAAAUUUUAAUUUUAUUAUUUAAUUUUUUAAUUUAUUUGAUUUGAGUUAGUUAACGAUACUUUGAUUUCAAAAUUUAAUCUAAUUAUUUAUUUUAAUGAAUAUCUAGUUGCGAGAACUGCAUGAUGUGUACGGACAAAAAUCUAUAAAAAUAAAUGUUGCAUUUAAAAUUUAACGUCAAAUUGCGUUGGUUAACUUAAAUCAAACAAGUUGAAAGGCUGGAUAAUAAAAUCAAAAUGGUCGAUGGUUCAGAUGAAUUUUACACGUUUUCAUCUUAAAAAAGGAUAAAACUUGCUUUGUUUUUAGUAAAAUUUAUAUUCAUCGGCACCGAUACCUAAUUAUUACGAAUCACUCGGUGAACCUUUUUAAUGAGGCUGAUUUAUGAGAUCAUUUCACGCCAUAUUAAUAAACUUAUAAUAUUUUACGCACAUGGACAGAUCAUGUUUAUCAGAGUAGAUUGAAUUUUGAUUUAACACACGAUCAUUACGCACCGAGUGCGGUGCACGAGUUGUGCUGGUACACCUGGUGCAAGCAACAACUUUAUUUUAGAGAGAGAGAGAGAGAGAGAGAGAGAGAGAGAGAAUUGGUAAGAAGUGAUGAGGAAGAUGGUUGGAAGAUUCUUGGGUAUGUGUUGGUCAUCUCCCUUUCCCUUGUUUGUGGUUUGUUGCUUUAACCGCUUUGAUGUGUACAUUAAAAAAGGAAAAAAAAAACAAAAAAAAACUAUUUUUACACUCCAAAAAUUUAGAAAAUUUUAAAUUUUUUUGUAUUUACAAAUAAAAAAGAGUUAAUAAGACAAAAAAUAAUAUUUAAUCUCUGAAAAAAUGAUGUAAAAUUUACACCAACUUAUAGAAUGUGUCACUGGUAUUGCCCCAUACAAAAAUAGGUUAAAAUUUACCAUCACCGUAUAAAAUUUACUCUGUAGGUUAAUUUGACUUAUAUUUUUUUACUUACUGAUUGUUUGACUUAGCUUUUUCUAUUAGUAAUUUUAAAAGUUUUGUUAGAAUCAAAAUAAACACCAACGAGAAAUGCGUGUGCUAUAAAAAUUGCUUUAGUCAAAAGUAGGUUAGAUGCAUCUCCUUUGGGUGCAUGAUAAAAGUUUCAAAUUGCGAAUAGAAUGAGCUAAUAUCAAAUGACUAGUAAAUUUUAGGGGGUCAAUUUAAAAUGGAUUAAAAUUCAAGAGUGUUUAUAAAUUUGAAUAUAAAAAGGGAUUACAAUCUACAAAUGUAGAUUGUCAUCCUACAAAUUUGGCCAUCCAAAGUAGGGAUGUCAAUGGGUAUGGAUACCCGAAAUUUUAUCCAAACUCGAACCCGAACCCGAAUGAAACGAAUAUAUCCGAUAGAUAUGAAUAAGGAUUCGGAUCUGGAUAUAAAAAAUAGAAACCGGACGGAUAUGGAUUUUGAUUGUACCCGAUCCGAACCCGAACCCGAACCCGAAUCCGAAUUUAUUUUGUAUUAUAUAUAUAUAUAUAUAUAUAUAUAUAGAACUAGGCUAAUAUACUAUUAAUAGCACCAAGUCAUUGGUGCUACCAAGUUUUUGGCCAUUGGAUUAAAAGAUGUGCGGUUAGGAUGAUGUGGGCCCCCAAGGGUUGAGUGGGUGGUUGGUUGAAUAGUAUGAUCUAACGGGUGAAAAUGAUCAAAAGGGUAGAUCUAACGGCAAGAGAAUUAGUAGCACAAGUGCUUCAUUUUAUUAAUAGCAUAGUAGACUCUUAUAUAUAUAUAUAAUAUAUAGUAUAUAUAUAUAUAUAUAUAUAUAUAUAUAUAUAUAUAUAUAUAUAUAUAGUAUAUAUACUAUUUGUAUACAAGCCUUUGGCUCUAUUGGAGUUUAUCUACGUUUUAGAUCUACCUUUGAUAUUUUGCAUCCUGUUUAAUAAUUACUAUUAACACAACACCAUCAACCCUAAGGACCCACAAUUCAUUUAUCGGGGCCAUAUCUCCUAACGCCAUUUAUUCAUAUCAACGGCCAAAAACUCUAAUAGUACAAGGGCCUUGUAUUAUUGAUAUGAUAUAGUAGCAUAUUCUAUAUAUUUAUAAUAUACAUCUAUAGAGUAGGGCUAGAAUAUUUACAAAGUAUCACUAAGUGUACUUGUGUGUUUCUAGCCUUGAUGUGAGAGAUGGGAGGUUGAGAUGAUGGAGUACGAGUGGUGCGUAGCGUGGUGGUAGUGAAUAGUGUUUGAUACCGAAGGGCUAUUUGUAAUAAAAGUAUCAAUGGCUAAAAAGGGUGGAUAGAAUUGGGGAUUUGAUACUUGGUGAAAAGUAUCCUUAUGGAUUCACUCAUUAUUAUAUAUAUAUAUAUUAAUAUAUAUUACUAUAUAUAUAUAUAAAUAUAUAUAAUAUAUGAUAUUGAUGUUAUAUUUGAAUUUGUAUUUUAAAAAUUUAGAUUUAAUAUAAUAUAUUUUGAAAUAUUGAAAAAAAAAUAAUUGUUUCGGGUUCAAAUUUUCGGGUUCGGGUUUCGAAUUUUUGGUCGGGUUCGGGUUUGGAUAUGGAUUUUUAAAAUUCGUCGGGUUCGGGUUCGGAUUCGGGUCUCGGGUUUGGAGUCGGGUUCGGGUUCGGAUUUUUAAAAAUCCGCCCCGAAUCCGACCCGUUGACAUCUCUAAUCCAAAGGCCAUCUUAUUUCUACAUGUUUGGUCAGCCUUUUUUAUUACUAAAAAUUCGGAUAAAUUCUAAGCCUAUUGCAUAAGGUGUCGUAAAGAUUACAACCUCUCUUAUUAGAGGCUCUUUUUUUUUUUUUUUUUUUGCAUGAAGUUCUAAUUGCACUACAGUUAUAAAUAGAUACAGAUUCACAUCUAUCGUUGGAUUUUAUGCAUUUGAAUCCAACUGUUGCAGUUAGAACUAAACGAGGAGGCAAAUAUACAGCAAUUGAAACUAUAUCCAAAUUGGCUGCAGUUUCAACUACAGUAGUUGGAAAGAGUAAUAUUAAACAAAGAUAAGCUUAUCUCCUAAUAAUUUUCCAAGCAGAAAAUAUAAUUUUCAAACAGGUCGAUUUCGAAGCAGGUUCUGCAAAAUUGAAUAUCAAACCCGAAUAAAAAAUCGAAAUUGAAAAACGUAUACGAAACCGACCAGCUAAAGGAACCAAAAUCCAUACCUAAAGCCGAAAAACCAAAUACGGCUAUUUAAUAUACUAAAUAUUAAAUUAAACUAUUAAAAUAUAUUAAUUAUUAAAAUAAAUAUUUAAAAAAAUUAUAUUAUACAUAUAUAAUGACAUCCAAAAGUCAUGAAAAAUUAAUUCUCAUAAAAUCUAAAUAGCCUGAAUCAAGUUUAACAAUAUCAAUUGUUGAUUCGUGUGUUCUAUUGUCGAAAAUAAUGUGGAAAAAAACGAUUCAAUUUACUUUUAAAAGUAUGUUAUCUCGACUCCUUAUUUACACAUUCUAAACUACAAUAUAAAUUUACCAAAACAUCAGCAGCAGCGUAUCCGAGAAACUCUUGGGUUUAAUGUCCAAAUCAUUCCUCACUUUUUAUACCUACCACUACAGAGAGAGAAAAAAAAAAAAAAAGAAAAAAAAGAAAGCCAUGUCAUGUCGUUGACUUUGACUUUGUUGACCUAAUAGCUUUUUGACCGUUGAAUUAGGGCAGUUACAAAGAAUUUCAUAGUUUUUAAUUACAUUUUAGAGAAUAAAAAUUUUCAUAAUGUUUAUGUAUCACAGGCGCCGCUAUAAGCAUCACGUGCCAUGAAUCAUGUCGCAUCAGAAAAAAAAAAAAAAAAUUUAUUUUAUUUUUUUAAGUGCAUAUAUUAUGUAAAAUGAUAAAUAUUUUAGUUUUUUAAUAAAUACAUACAAUUGUUUUUGAAUGACAUAUAUAAAUUACGAUAAAUUUCAAACAUCAUCACUGUGGUUUCGCACUUUUUCACUUUAGUAUCCUGUGGUUUGGAGUGUAUCAAGUUAGCGUUCUGUGGUUUCAUUUUUAUCUUUUCGUCAGUUUCUCCGUUAAUAUUUCGUUAAAUUAUAUACAAAAAACUUCAGAUACUCCACCUAGAUUUACCGAAUAUUCACUUAAGUACCGUUUACUUUUAACUUUGUCACUGAUUUAACAAAAAAAAUUAGUGGAAUCAAUAAUAAAAAGUCAAAAAAAAAAUCGCAAGGUAUUAAAUUGAUACACUUUAAAUCAUAUGAUAUUAAAAUAAGAAAAUGUGAAACAAUAGGAAUGGUAUUUGAAGUUUAACUUUUAUUCUAAUUAGUCGAUAUUUGAGUAUUCUGACCAAAAGUUUUUAUAAUUUUCUUGUUUCAUCGUGAUAUGGUAACUUGUUUUGCAUAAUUAUAUAGCUAAUAAAAUAGCAGGAAAAGUAAAUGCCCAAAAUAUUUAUCACCCUAGGAAGUUAAAAUAAUAUACAAGGUGGGAAACAUAAAUUUUUCACUUUUAAGUUUUCAUCCUUGUUACAACAUAAUUGUAUUUAUUAAUGCUUUUUUAAACAGCUUAUUUUUACAUAAGUUUAAAUGGCCAUGAUAUAUAUAUAUAUAUAUAUAUAUAGAGAGAGAGAGAGAGAGAGAGAGAGAGAGAGAGAGAGUUAGCUAGAAAUACUAUACAUACGUAAACGACAUUUUUCCGUCAAAUAUAUCAAAACAAUUAAAUUAUCUAGAAAUCAAAUUCAACAAGCAUUUUCGAUAUUGUUCUUUUAUCCACAAGAAUAGCAAAAAUGAAUGGCUGAAAAGUGAAUAUUCUUAAAAAAUAAUAGGAGUCUUAAAUCAAGAUCAAGAGUAAAAUCUUAUUUUAAAUAUCAAAAAUUUCUAACAAAAAUUCAAUUAUUUGGAUAUCUUUACGGACGUAAACGAGAAAACGCCUCUUAUCACCAUUAAAUUACAAAAUUUGAAACCUUAAUCAUUAGGACAAAUAAUCGAAAAGAUUGAAAUUUGAAUUUCUAAACACUCAAGUAGGUAUAGAUCAUUUCAACGACCGAUCGAAAAAUUUGGAAGCUCCCAUCAUCGAAAAUAAAUAGGUAGUAAAAAUGGCUCGUUUACACUAAUAGUCAUUCCUAUCAAAACUCUAACAUAUAUAUAUAUAAAUAUAUAUAUAUACUAAUUAAUAUAACACAAAACCAAAAAAGCCAAAAAAAAAAAAAACUACACAAAAAAGUUUUUUUUGUCUUGAAACACAAGAAAAGUUAUUGAUCAAUCUCCAAUUAAAAGGAAAAGAAAAAGUUUUUCCAAAAAAAAAAAAAAGGAAAAAGACCCAAAUUGUUGUGGAAAGAAGCAACUAACUAAUUAUGGAUCUUGCAAAUAUAAAUCCAAAUAAUUGCACAUUUCUAGCAAUAAAAAAACGUAACUCUGAGACAAUAUGCUCGUGCGUAGAGAAUAGAAUUAAAAUAUCACACACCAAUCACCACCACUGUCUAUAAUUAUAAAGUACAAUAAUUGUAUUUUGGAGAAUCAAAUAUGUACAAGGAGGAUAAAUAUAUGUAAUUAUUGUAAUAGCUAAGUUUAUUUCUCUCGCUAUUAUACGAUACACUUUUUCUCUAUGCAAAAUUGUGUUGUAUUUCGUUUCUUGAUUGAAAUUCAAUAUACUGAAUUUGUUUACGUCUUGAACGGACAGAAAAAAUUCUAUUCGUUCGGCUGAUCUGUUCAAGCGCCUGCGAGGGCUUUCGCUGUGGGAUAACACGGGGCGUGACAAUAAUAGUUGAUUGAUAUUCUCUAUACUGCACUAAUUCAAUCACACUUUGAGAAACGUUUGUAUGUGUAUAGUGAUUGAUAGGCAACUUUAUUAACAAAAAAAAAAAGAAGGAAAAACUUUAAAUAUUAUCCUUAUAGUUUCGCACUUUUUCACUUUAAUAUUUUGUAAUUUAAAGUGUAUCAAUUUAGUAUCAUGCGAUUUAAAGUGCAUCAAUUUAGUACCUUGUGGUUUCAUUUUUCUCUUUUCGCCGGCUCCUCUGUUAAUAUUUCGUUAAAUUAUAUAUAAAAAACUUCAUACACCCUACUUAGGUUUAUCGAAUAUUUACUUUAAUAACCUUUAAUUUUAAUUUUGUCACCUAUUUUUUCCUCCGUUAAUAUUUCGUUAAAUUAUAAACCAAAAAACUUCAGAUAACCCUAUCCAGGUUUAUCGAAUAUUCACUUUAGUAUCUUUCAAUUUUAAAUUUGUAAUUGAUUUAACGAAAAGAAUUAGUGAAAUAGAAAAUAAAAAAAAAUAAAUAAAACCACAGGAUACUAACUUCAUACACUUUAAACCACAUGACACUAAAGUGAGAAAGUGUGAAACCACAUAGCGGUAUUUUGAAGUUUA
This 38507-nucleotide long non-coding RNA is filed under the name Ananas comosus (pineapple). Its description in RNAcentral is "long non-coding RNA (ACOM_LNC001610)". The record is from RNAcentral. Lineage: Eukaryota; Viridiplantae; Streptophyta; Magnoliopsida; Poales; Bromeliaceae.